UACGAAGGGGGCUAGCGUUGCUCGGAAUCACUGGGCGUAAAGGGUGCGUAGGCGGGUUUUUAAGUCAGGGGUGAAAUCCUGGAGCUCAACUCCAGAACUGCCUUUGAUACUGAAGAUCUUGAGUUCGGGAGAGGUGAGUGGAACUGCGAGUGUAGAGGUGAAAUUCGUAGAUAUUCGCAAGAACACCAGUGGCGAAGGCAGCUCACUGGCCCGAUACUGACGCUGAGGCGCGACAGCGUGGGGGAGCAAACAGG
Molecule: ribosomal RNA, 254 nt
Filed under: uncultured bacterium
Lineage: Bacteria
Description: partial 16S ribosomal RNA
Rfam family: Bacterial small subunit ribosomal RNA
Source: RNAcentral